Pelobates cultripes (western spadefoot toad) is the source of this 622-nucleotide non-coding RNA. The record is from the annotation of a GenBank genome assembly. NCBI's taxonomy places the organism in Eukaryota, Metazoa, Chordata, Amphibia, Anura, Pelobatidae.
CUCACACCAUGCCACUAUCCUGCGGCUACAGGGUCAACUACGCAAACUUGAAUUAGCCAAGUCAACGCUAAUGCUGUGAAGAAUGAAACAUGGCUUCUUUGCCUCAGGCCUCCCAGCUCAAAGAACGUUCCAGAGCCGCAAAAAUAUUGCACUUCGUGAAUGCCAAAGGGGAAAAAAAAUACUAGAUCCACAACACAUAGCGAACAUGUUCGCUAAUUAUUAUAGUAACCUCUAUAAUCUCAAUAAAGACCCACAUGUACCAACUUCUUCCGCUACUGAGAUACAUGGGUUCCUAUCUAACCUCAAACUCCCCUCUCUGAGCGAAGAAGAAGCAGAAUCUCUCCUCAUCCCUUUUAGCCUUGAGAAAAUUUCCUCCAUAAUCCAUUCUCUCCCGGCGCAUAAAGCGUCUAGCCCGGAUGGUCUACCUAAUUCCUAUUACCGCACAUACCAAACAACUCUAGCCCCCUAUUUACUAAAUCUUUACAACCAUAGCACACAGAAAGAGACACUACCAGAUGAACUGCACCACUAUUACAGAUGUGUACAAAUGAACUUGCAGGAUGGAAGGCGGCCCACCUAACGUGGCUAGGUAAGAUUAACACGUUCAAAAUGAUGACCCUCC